RNAcentral lists this ribosomal RNA (445 nucleotides) under uncultured bacterium. Its description in RNAcentral is "partial 16S ribosomal RNA". It matches the Rfam family "Bacterial small subunit ribosomal RNA", at positions 354 to 796 of the family's 1533-position model. The record is from RNAcentral.
GUGAGGAAUAUUGCGCAAUGGAGGCAACUCUGACGCAGCCAUGCCGCGUGCAGGAAGAAGGCGCUACGCGUUGUAAACUGCUUUUAACCGGGAAGAAACCCCAGGACGUGUCCUGGGUUGACGGUACCGGAGGAAUAAGCACCGGCUAACUUCGUGCCAGCAGCCGCAGUAAUACGAAGGGUGCAAGCGUUAUCCGGAUUCAUUGGGUUUAAAGGGUGCGUAGGCGGAGCGUUAAGUCAGUGGUGAAAUCCUGCAGCUUAACUGUAGACUUGCCAUUGAUACUGGCGCUCUUGAGUGCGCUUGAAGUGGGCGGAAUGUGCCGUGUAGCGGUGAAAUGCUUAGAUAUGGCACAGAACACCAAUUGCGAAGGCAGCUCACUAAGGCGAUACUGACGCUGAGGCACGAAAGCGUGGGGAUCGAACAGGAUUAGAUACCCGAGUAGUCC